GACGAACGCUGGCGGCGUGCUUAACACAUGCAAGUCGAACGGAAAGGCCCUGCUUUUGUGGGGUGCUCGAGUGGCGAACGGGUGAGUAACACGUGAGUAACCUGCCCUUGACUUUGGGAUAACUUCAGGAAACUGGGGCUAAUACCGGAUAGGAGCUCCUGCUGCAUGGUGGGGGUGGGAAAGUUUCGGCGGUUGGGGAUGGACUCGCGGCUGAUCAGCUUGUUGGUGGGGUAGUGGCUUACCAAGGUUUUGACGGGUAGCCGGCCUGGGAGGGUGGCCGGCCACAUUGGUACUGAGGUACGACCCAGACUCCUACGGUAGGCAGCGGUGGGGAAUAUAGCACAAUGGGCGGAAGCCUGUUGCGGCAACGCCGCGUGCGUGAUGACGGCCUUCGGGUUGUGAACCGCUUUCGCCUGUGACGAAGCGUGAGUGACGGUAAUGGGUAAAGAAGCACCGGCUAACUACGUG
RNAcentral lists this ribosomal RNA (468 nucleotides) under uncultured bacterium. RNAcentral describes it as "partial 16S ribosomal RNA". It matches the Rfam family "Bacterial small subunit ribosomal RNA", at positions 28 to 507 of the family's 1533-position model. The record is from RNAcentral.